UGCGUAGGUGGUUCGUUAAGUCUGUCGUGAAAUCCCCGGGCUCAACCUGGGAAUGGCGAUGGAUACUGGCGAGCUGGAGUGAGGUAGAGGAGAGUGGAAUUCCCGGUGUAGCAGCGAAAUGCGUAGAGAUCGGGAGGAACAUCAGUUGCGAAGGCGGCUCUCUGGACCAUCACUGACACUGAGGCACGAAAGCGUGGGGAGCAAACA
RNAcentral lists this ribosomal RNA (207 nucleotides) under uncultured bacterium. RNAcentral describes it as "partial 16S ribosomal RNA". It matches the Rfam family "Bacterial small subunit ribosomal RNA", at positions 568 to 774 of the family's 1533-position model. The record is from RNAcentral.